Molecule: non-coding RNA, 3772 nt
Organism: Cicer arietinum (chickpea)
Lineage: Eukaryota; Viridiplantae; Streptophyta; Magnoliopsida; Fabales; Fabaceae
Source: RefSeq, a predicted model, not a curated record
UUUAUCUCACGUAGACUUUGUUAUUAAGAUAGUUUAGAGUUAAUUACUUUUGUUACAUUUUUUCUUUAUUUUUAGCUUUAAUUUGUUUUACUCUCUAUAUAAAUAAGGUAUUUAUUUCAUUUGUUGGGAUCUAAGAAAAAUUGUAUACAUUUUUUUUUCAUUGUUAUUGAACGAGAUCAAAAGAUAUUUCAGUUUAAUAUGAUAUCAAAGUAAAUACUUUGAUUUUUUUUUCUUUCUCUUUCUCUUUCCUUUUUCCUUUUUCUUUUUUCUUUUCUCCAUCGCCCUUUAUUCUAAAAUUCCGAUCAUUUCUCCUGUGCCUCUAGUAACAACCUACCAACAUGAUAUGCUUGAUCCAUACUUCAUGCAUAUCAGUGAAAAUCCUAGUGUCGCGUUGGUUUCUCCGUCUCGAAUUACCAUUUGUGGUCGCGUUCAAUGGUUGUUUCCCUCCGUAGAAAGAAAAAAUUAGGGUUUGUAAAUGAUUCUCUUCCUUGCUCUUCUAAUAUUGAUUGCCUUUCUAUCGCGUGAGAAAGCUGUAAUACUAUGUUGAUGUCUUGGAUGAAAAAUUCUUUAGAGCCGGAUAUUGCUCAAAGUGUGAUGUGGAUGGAUUAUGUGGCUGAAAUUUGGUAUGAACUGCGCGAACGAUAUCAUCACGGGGAUGUGUUUCGUAUCUUUGAUUUGCAAGAAGAGAUUUAUGGCCUUCGUUAAGGUGAUUCUUCGAUUACAUCUUAUUAUACACGAUUAAAGAAACUUUGUCAAGAACUUGAGAAUCUUCGUUCCUUACCUUCUUGUACCUGUAAAAUCAAAUGCUCAUGUGCCCUAAUUCCCUAAAUUUGUGAGUAUCGGGAUGGGGAUUAUGUGAUUCGAUUUCUUAAAGGUCUUAACGAUCAAUAUUCUAGUGUUCAUUCCCCAAUCAUGCUCAUGGAUCCCCUCCCCAAUAUAAACAAAGUGUUUUCAUUGUUAGUGCAAUAAGAACGUCAAAUUUUUCCUAAUUCUGAAGAAAUUUCAACUAUUACUAAUGUCUCCAACUCUAUCUGUGCUAAUUCAAAGGGGUGUGGUGAUAUUGGUGGUCGUUCAUCUAGUAGUAGUGGCCGUCACUCAAGAUAUUGCUCUCAUUGCCACCGUUCAAAUCACACCAUUGACUUUUGUUUCCGCAAACAUGGUUUUUCUUCUCAUUUUUGCAAGAACGGAAAUUCUUCUGCCAAUAAUUGUGUUGCAUCUGAUGUUGAUGAUGACGAUCACAAAUCUAGUUGUGCUAAUGACUCUCCUGGUGAUUUUCCCCAUUCUAGUUUCACCACUAAGCAACAUAAGGUUUUAAAGACGUUAUUGCACAUAUCUUAAACCAGUUCUUCUCUUGUCAUGAAUCAUCUCUUUAAUUCACCCCUUAUAGGUUAUUUUUCUUUUCCUCAUAUUUCAAAUGUCAUAAAUAUCCAAUCUUGGAUUUUAGAUACUAGUUCUACAAAUCAUGUAUGUUAUUCUGAUUCUCUUUUCUAAUCUUUGAAACGUAUUAAACAUGUUCGUAUUCGUUUUUCUAAUGGUUGUGCCAUCACAACUGAACUUGUUGGAACUAUAUUCUUUAAUUUUGAAUUUUACCUAUGUGAUGUUCUUUUUAUUCAUGAAUUUUCUUGUAAUUUGAUUUCCAUUCCUUGUCUAAUUAUGUCUUUAAACUGCAAUUUAAUUUUUAAUGCAUAUAACUGUUGGAUACAAGACUAUUGUUUCCACUCCUAUUGCCAAUUGUAUUUUUAAUUCUUGUUUAGCAAAUGUUACAGGCCCACCUGUUUGUAAUAUUUGGCAUAAUCGCCUUGGACAUGCUUCUUUUGAUGUUUUGAACCAUAUGAAUAAAAGUUUUCCCUUCAUUAGAAUUUCUAAAUCUGUUUCUCCAUGUGAUAUUUGUUUUCAUGCUAAGCAUAAACGUUUACCUUUCCGUAAUAGUACUACUAUUGCUGAUUGUUGUUUUGAUCUAAUUCACAUGGAUAUAUGAGGUCCUUUUUCUGUGGCUUCCAUUUUGGGUUACAAAUAUUUUUUAACAGUUGUUGAUGACAAAUCUUGUUUUUGUUGGGUAUAUCUCAUGAAAUUAAAAUCAAAAACUUCGUCUCUAGUUAAAUAUUUAGUUUCCAUUAUCCAAACUCAAUUUCAUAAAACCAUUAAAUUUAUUCGUUCACACAAUGGAAACGAAUUUUGACUCAAAGAUUUUUUUCCAAACCAACUAGAUUUUUCAUCAGACAUCUUGUGUGGAUACGCCUCAACAAAAUGGUUGAGUGUAAAUAUCAACAUAUUUUAAAUAUUGCUCGUGCUUUAAUGUUUCAGUCACAAUUAUCAAUUAAAUUUUGGGCACAUGUUGUUGUACAUUUUGCUUUCUUAAUUAAUAGGUUGUCAUCCAGGUUUUUAAGUUACAAGUCUCCUUUUCAUAUUUUACAUGGUUUUUUACCUGAUAUUUAUGAAAUAAAGAUUUCCGGUUGCUUAUGGUAUGCUUCUAUCUUAAAAUCAAAUAGAAAGAAAUUUGAUCCUCGAUCUUGUAAAUGCAUUUAUUUGGGCCAUAAAUUUGGAACUAAAGGAUAUAUUCUAUUUGACUUACAUAAUUGAGAAAUUUUUGCUUCUCACGAUAUUGUUUUCUUGAAAAUGUAUUUCCUUUUAGUGGUUGUCAACAGGAUCAAAUACUUUUAUCCAUUCCUUCCAUCAAUCCUACUUCAAUUGAUUUUCUUUUUGAUUUACCACCAACUCCUAUAGACAAUGCUCAUGCCCCUAGUUUUUCACCACAACUCUCAUUUUCAAAUUAUGUCACUCCUUUUCCUUCACCAAUUACUACUACACCACACCCAAUUCCAACUUUUUCCCCUCAAUCCACCCUUCCAUUCCUACUAGAAAGUCUACCCGAAAAGUUAAACCUCCAUCAUAUGUUAAGGACUUUCAUUGUGAACUUUUGACCGAUAAGAAUCCUAAUUCGAAUGUUCUCCAUUUGCACAGUUCAGGUUGAGUCAAUUCUUAUCUGAUCCAACUGAUUUACACCUCCAGACUGCCAUCCACAUUCUUUGCUACAUUAAAUCCAGUCUUGAUAGUGGCUUAUUCUACAACAGCAUUUCAACCUUCAAUUUGAUGGGCUUUUGUGAUUCUGAUUGGGGCAUUUACUUAGACACACGACGCUCCACUUCUAGUUUGUGUUUUUAUCUUGGCUCAUCUUUGGUCUCUUGGAAAAGCAAGAAACAGCCCACCGUUUCACACUUUUCAUUUGAAGCAGAGUAUCGUGCUCUUGCUCACGCCACAUGCGAAGCUCAGUGACUGUUAUAUUUGUUAGCUGAUUUCCAGAUCUCUUAUUCAGCACCUGUGCAGAUUUUUUGUGAUAAUAAAUCAACCAUGCAUAUCGCCUCCAAUCCGGUGUUUCACGAGCGCACCAAGUAUAUUGAGAUGGAUUUUCACAUUGUUCGCGACAAAAUUCAAGUUGGGGUCAUUCAUUUGCUGCCAAUUUCAACUUCAAAUCGAAUUGCAGAUUUACUAACAAAGUCCCUACACUUUGGUCCUUUCACAUAUUUAACCUCCAAACUUGGUCUUCUUGAUAUCCACUCAAGUUUGACAGAGGAUGUUAGCUUAUCAUAACUACCAUUUUCUUAUUUGUUUAUCUCAGUUAUAGUUUGUUAUUAAAAUAAUUUAAAGUUAAUUACAUUUGUUAAUAUGUUCCCUUAUUUUUAGCUUUAAUUUAUUUUACUCUCUGUAUAAAUACAGGACCAUUAUUUCAUUUGUUGAGAUGUAAGAAGAAUUCCACACAACAUUUUUUUCUUCA